RNAcentral lists this ribosomal RNA (253 nucleotides) under uncultured bacterium. Its description in RNAcentral is "partial 16S ribosomal RNA". It matches the Rfam family "Bacterial small subunit ribosomal RNA", at positions 524 to 776 of the family's 1533-position model. The record is from RNAcentral.
GACAUAGGUGGCGAACGUUAUCCGGAAUUAUUGGGCGUAAAGAGCUCGUAGGCGGCUUGUCGCGUCGACCGUGAAAACUUGGGGCUCAACCCCAAGCCUGCGGUCGAUACGGGCAGGCUCGAGUUCGGUAGGGGAGACUGGAAUUCCUGGUGUAGCGGUGAAAUGCGCAGAUAUCAGGAGGAACACCGGUGGCGAAGGCGGGUCUCUGGGCCGAUACUGACGCUGAGGAGCGAAAGCGUGGGGAGCGAACAGG